Long non-coding RNA from Hyaena hyaena (striped hyena), 458 nucleotides. RefSeq lists it as uncharacterized. The record is from RefSeq and is a predicted model, not a curated record. Lineage: Eukaryota; Metazoa; Chordata; Mammalia; Carnivora; Hyaenidae. The transcript has 3 exons.
GACAAGAACCUGGUAAAUGGAAACUGAACAGUUAGGGGGGCAUCUCUAGGCCCCGGGGAGACAGGAAACCCACCAAGGUAGAGCCUGAUGACAAGGACACAGAAGCCACAGCUCAUGGACUUCAUGCUUUCAGGGAAAAGACAGCUACCUAUACUGAUCCACUGGUCUCUGCUUAAAAAGAAAUUCAAGGUGGUAAACCAAAUUACAAAAAGGAGGAGGAAGAAGAAAAAGGCAGGAGGCGAUCUUAAAACAUUAGCUCAAAACAUCCAAGCUCACUCAAAAGUCACUUCCUGUAUAAAGGCCUCCACAGCUCCCACAGAGAGACAGGCCCCUGUUCUGGGAGAAAUUGAGCCUAGUAGCUGAAGGGAGAGCACAGCCCUGGGCCAGUACCUGACUCCAGACAGAAGCAGUACUCCAGGGGGCCCAGGGCCGAGGAUGUGUUGCAGAAGAUGGCGAAG